GACGAACGCUGGCGGCGUGCCUAAUACAUGCAAGUAGAACGCUGAAGGAGGAGCUUGCUUCUCUGGAUGAGUUGCGAACGGGUGAGUAACGCGUAGGUAACCUGCCUGGUAGCGGGGGAUAACUAUUGGAAACGAUAGCUAAUACCGCAUAAGAGUAGAUGUUGCAUGACAUUUGCUUAAAAGGUGCAAUUGCAUCACUACCAGAUGGACCUGCGUUGUAUUAGCUAGUUGGUGGGGUAACGGCUCACCAAGGCGACGAUACAUAGCCGACCUGAGAGGGGGAUCGGCCACACUGGGACUGAGACACGGCCCAGACUCCUACGGGAGGCAGCAGUAGGGAAUCUUCGGCAAUGGACGGAAGUCUGACCGAGCAACGCCGCGUGAGUGAAGAAGGUUUUCGGAUCGUAAAGCUCUGUUGUAAGAGAAGAACGAGUGUGAGAGUGGAAAGUUCACACUGUGACGGUAUCUUACCAGAAAGGGACGGCUAACUACGUG
RNAcentral lists this ribosomal RNA (495 nucleotides) under uncultured bacterium. RNAcentral's name for it is "partial 16S ribosomal RNA". It matches the Rfam family "Bacterial small subunit ribosomal RNA", at positions 28 to 507 of the family's 1533-position model. The record is from RNAcentral.